This 379-nucleotide ribosomal RNA is filed under the name uncultured cyanobacterium. RNAcentral's name for it is "bacterial SSU rRNA". It matches the Rfam family "Bacterial small subunit ribosomal RNA", at positions 376 to 770 of the family's 1533-position model. The record is from RNAcentral. Lineage: Bacteria; Bacillati; Cyanobacteriota.
CGAAAGCCUGACGGAGCAAGACCGCGUGAGGGAGGAAGGCUCUUGGGUUGUAAACCUCUUUUCUCAGGGAAGAAGUCCUGACGGUACCUGAGGAAUCAGCCUCGGCUAACUCCGUGCCAGCAGCCGCGGUAAUACGGAGGAGGCAAGCGUUAUCCGGAAUUAUUGGGCGUAAAGCGUCCGCAGGGGGCGCAUCAAGUCUGCUGUCAAAGGUCGGAGCUUAACUCCGGAAAGGCAGUGGAAACUGAAGCGCUAGAGUGCGGUAGGGGUAGAGGGAAUUCCCGGUGUAGCGGUGAAAUGCGUAGAGAUCGGGAAGAACAUCGGUGGCGAAAGCGCUCUACUGGGCCGCAACUGACACUCAGGGACGAAAGCUAGGGGAGCG